CCCGGACAAGGAGAGGGGGUGCACGCACGCGUUGUAAGAGGCCAGGAGGGAAUAAACCCAAAGUUUCUGUGACUUGGCCAAGGUCACGGAGGAGACUCCCGGGCUUUCCACCGCUACGCACAACUUUCUGUAAUACCAUCUGCGCUCCUGAGGCUGGCUACGCUCCAAGUAUCGUCGUAAGAAAUGUGUUUGACCCUCCCAUCCUCACCCCAUGUUUUCACGAGAACCUAAUGGCCCUUGAAAAGGUGACAGAAUAUUCAGUGGGACUUCACCUGAAUUUGAGGAGUGAGUCAUAUAACCACUGAUGGAUAUGACAGAAUAUUCAGUGGGACUCCACCUGAAUUUGAGGAGUGAUUCAUAUAACCACUGAUGGAUAUGGUGCCUGUUGGAACUGUGUGCCUCUACAUUUUGAAGAAGAGGAUCCCAUUUAGGACAUCACAUUACAUUUCAUCAUUAUGUCUCCUUAAGUUCCUCCUGAUUAUGAUGAUUUCUCAGACUUUCCUUGUUUUUGAUGACCUUGACAGUUUCGAGGAGUACUGGCCUCGGGGAUGGAGGUUACAUCUCUACUCGUUUCCCCUUGUUCGCAUUCCAGGACUCCGCCUGGCAUGGGGGCUGGAAUUCUUUCAGGCCCGGGGUUUCUACAUGAGCUCCUAUGUGGAAAUCGCUGGGCUGCUCCAGGAUGUCCUCCGCUGUGCCCCAUCCUGUCCUCCUUAUCACAGCUGCAGGCGGCCUGAGCCACAUUCCUCCUGCCUGAGUCAUUGCCCCAGGUCCCAGGCUGCCUUUCCUCCAGCUUGGCCUGGGGCCAGCCCCUGUGCGGCCCAUCUCGUUGCUUGUCCCUUUAUUGUCAAGAAUGCUACAGAUUUAUUUUUGUCGCCUGCAUGGAAUGGCAGCUAUUAGCCAAAGAAAAUUUUCCAUACGUUAAGUUCUUCCCUUUCCUUUUCAGCAUCCUUCUCAUCAAGAUCUAGCCUAUCUCAUCCCUACUGGGCCCUACUCCUAAUCACAGCAUUAUCUGUAUAUUUUUUAACUUAGGUUUCCUUGAUGGUUAUAACACCAUUUGAUCAAAAGUCUAAGCUAUGUUUUUAGGUUUAGCCCGUGCACGCCCAUCCACCCACUGGUGGACUUCUGACCUCCACCUUCCUGCUUGUUGAUGUCUUAUCCCCUAGAGCACCUUACUAACCCUCCUAUGGCAGAAGGCUUCCAUUCCCCACGUGAAUGGUUGAAUGAAUGAAAGGGAACAAACACAAUGUUGCCUAAUGUCUAAACCAAGUGAUUUUGAAUUUGUUGAAUUAACUGGAAAAUUUGACACCAGGUGGAUCUUAUUUUUCGUAGAUAACUGGCAGGCCCCUGGAAUCCUGUCAUAUUCAAUUUCAAGUUUAAAAUACCUCUAAUACAUAAUUUGGGGCUAAAUUUUGUGCUAAUUACUUGAUUCUAGAUAAGCAACAAGACAUUAUGGUGGUUUUGGAAAAGGUAUGGAAGGAAAACUUAAAAUUGAAAACAUUCUCUUCAUGGCCAUUGACAUUUUUACCCAGAAAUUACAGUGAGACUGCCUAGUAUCCCCACAGCAUAACUUAAGUCAGGGGGUAUUUAUUCUGAGCACAACCCUCUUACUUUUAAGAAUUAUUCUCUAAACAUUGAAUGCCCAUUAUGUAUCACGCAAGAUGAUUAGUAAUUUCUAGUCAUUUUUCCCUAAAAGAGGAAAUAUUCCCUAGUGUACUCACUUCUACUCUCUCCGUGGUUUAGUCAUCAAAUGUUUACCAAGCUCUACCAUGUGCCAGAUGCUCUCAGUGCCAGGCUCCCUGCCCUUAAAGGGCUCAGCCUGGCGACCAUGCAAGGCAUCUAGCAUGGAGCCUGUGGACCACCAGAGCUAGCGGGGGUGUGUGUGUGUGUGACAGGGAAGGGACAGGGAAGCUUUCUGGAGGAGGUAACUGCUAAGCUGAGUGCUGAGGGAUAAGGGAACUCUCCAAGCUGUAGCAGACAAGGAACGAGCUCGCCACGUUGUGGGAAAUGAAAUGUUGUGUUGGACACAACUUAUUUGAAAGGAGACAUUAGGCCAGAAAUUUAAAUGGGAAUUAAGAAGCAGUCUUCCAUAUCCAGGACAUAGCUCUGCGGUAAAACCAGGAUGCCAAGUCUCCAUCCCUUCAUCAGGAUCUGCUCCUCAAGAAGUGGUGAGGCUUGGUGAAUGAGGAUUCCAGAGAAGCCAGGGCACAUCCUCCCAGACACCUUUCUCCUUCCCGGCAGCCUCAUGACCAGCUUGGACCAUGACUCCUGUGCAGCCCUGGGCAGACAGCCCAAUAUCCCUGGGCCUCAGUCUCCUUCAUGGUUAAACUUGGAGCAGUGAUGCUCCCCAGUUAGGAGCUGUUUCUCUGAGUUCUUGGCCCAGCUCUUGUAAAAUGCAGAUACUGCUAGGCACCUAAAUGAGUUCAUGCUGGUCUCAGCAUUGUGUAUAGGUAACAGGAAGUGUUUGCCCAUGGUGAGGGUGUGUGUAGACAGAAUGGGGUUGGGCCCUUCCUUACAGAGGGACCUGCGCAUGGGGUGGGAGGGAGAGGAAGCAGUGCCUGGCUUAGAGCUUUGCUUCUGGCCCCGCCAGUCCCCAUUUACUCUGAUUUAAAAGACAAAACAGAAGCUAUAGUUUCUGGAAUGAUCCUGGGUCACAGACUCUUCAGAAAUGGAAGGUACCUCACCACUCAUCACUCCCACCCUUGAUUCAGUCCAGUCAAUUUCUGUUCUUUUCCAUUAGAUCCAAUGACUUAGACGGGAACAAAGCAGUAGUUUAAAUAAAUAUCAUAUCUGGCAAAGCCAUGAAGCAUUUUCCGCCUAGUUGUUGGUUCUCACUCAAUUACUUGUGAAGCGUGUAAGUCGCGCAAGCCUCACUGCUGGGUGUGGUGAUGGCAGUGAAAGGUGGUUUAGAAGAAAUGUGUCCACCCAGUCUUCUCCUUUAGAGAAAGUAUAUUGCUCAGGGUUCUCCAGAGACACAGAACCAGUUGGAUGUGUGUAUACAUGUAGAUGUAGAAAGAGAGAGAUUCAUUUUAGGGAAUUGGCUCACGUGAUUGUGGGGCUGGCAAGACUGCAGUGUGAAGGGCAGGCCAGCAGGCUGGAGAGCCAGGGAAGAGCUGAGGUUGCAGCUGGAGUCCAAAGGCAGCCUGAAGGCAGAAUUUCUCUUCCAGGGCCCUCCAUCUUUUUCUCUGAAGGCCUUCAACUGACUGGAUGAGUCCCACCCAUAUUAUGGAGAGUAAAGUGCUUUACUCAAAGUUCACUGGUUUAAAUGUUAAUCUCAUCUAAAAAAUACUCUCACAGUGACUUCUAGACUGCUGUUUGACUAGAUAUCUGGGCACUGUGGCCACCAGGUUGCACACAGAGUUAACCGCCACGGAACAGUCCUGGCAUGGUCAUUUCGGCGUUCUCGUGGUACGUCCAGGCAGAGACCCUGUGCUCCUUCUC
Non-coding RNA from Globicephala melas (long-finned pilot whale), 3438 nucleotides. The record is from RefSeq and is a predicted model, not a curated record. Lineage: Eukaryota; Metazoa; Chordata; Mammalia; Artiodactyla; Delphinidae.